UGUAUUCAAAUAGAAAAUAUUAAGAUAUGAAAUAAUUUGCAUGUCAGACCAUAAGACAUAGGAGCAGAAUUAGGUCAUUUGCUCCACUGAGUCUGCUCCAGCAUUCAGUCAGGGCUGAUCCUUUUUUCUAUCUCCUCCUCAACCCCACUCCCUGGCUUUCUCCCAGUGACCUUUGAUGCCAUGUCCAAUCAAGAACCUAUCAAUCUCUGCCUUAAACACACCCAAUGACCUGGCCUCCACAGCGGCUAAAAAUUCACCACCCUUUGGUUAAAGAAAUUUCUCCACAUAUCUAUUUUGAAAGGUCACUCUUCUUUCCUGAGCCGGUGCCCUCUUGUCCUAGACUCUCCCAUCAUGGGAAACAUCCUUACCACAUCUACUCUGUCUAGGCCUUUCAACAUUCAAAAGGUUUCAAUGAGAUCCCCCCUCAUCCUUCUAAAUUCCAAUAAGUAGAUAGCCGUUUCAUUCCUAGACAAUAGUGCAUCAUCACAAUUUAUGUUCCUAUUAAAUCACUUAUCUGUUCUGUUCAUUACAAAUGGGACUAAGCAGCAUCCAUCAGGGACCCCCACCACCCAGGGCAUGAUCUUUUCUUGCUACUGCAAUCAGGAAGAAGAUAAAGGAGCCUCCAGACUCACACCACCAAGCUCAGAAGUAGUUAUUACCCCUCAACCAUAAUUGGAGAAUAAAGUUGCAUCAUUUGCUGUGUGGCCAGAACUAUGUGGCCAGCCUUGUGUUUGCUAUUUGCUAUGUAUCCAACUUAUUGGCCAGAAUGUAAUCUCUGUAUUGCCUCUGUACUAUUGAAUGCAUCAGUGCCUAAAGAAUGUAGCUAACAGUGAAAGUAAGCAUGUAGAGAUGACGGUGGUAGACGGGAUCGUGCGAUGGUGUGAUGGUAUGAAAACCAGUCAAGGCCGGGAAGGGGGACACGUGUUCCAAGGAGUAGACUAGAACAAGUUUAAGCUACUGAACAAAAAUACUGGUGGCGAAUCGAGAAGCUAAUGUGCUGGUGGUAAGAGGAUAUGCUAAUGUACUGAGAUAAGAAAGUACUAUAAAGAAUACUGUGUACUAGGCUCAGCGGGCAAUUAGUGACACGUUCAUUAAUUGUCUCAGCUUUUGUUUGCAAAUAAAGGCUUAAACUUCUCAAAGAAGCUUCUGCAUCUUCUGGUUAUUUCAAGAAACCACGACAGAAUUGGCGACCGCGGCAGGACCGGAAAGAGACCCACAGAAAGGAAAUGGCAGAUUGGGGACGCUUCACAGUCCUCUAGGGACCCCCACAGGGCUAACAGAAUUAAGGGUGCACCCAAACAAAAGGUGCUCGUCCAGUGGGCCAUUUCAGAGGUAACUUCACUCAGAUGUGGGAUGUGACCCCAGGCGAAAGACACAUAGUAGGUUCCCCUCCACCCGAAGGUACAUUGGAUGCCCAGACCAUCCCCUUCGCAGACACCUGGUGGCUGUGUGGUGAGGAAGGAGGUCUAAGAUCCACACUUCCCCUCAAUUGGGCAGCUAAUCUCUUCAUCUGCUUCUCUGUAUGGCAAUUCAUGAAGCCUGAGGCAAGACCAGAUGGGCCCUGAUAUGGUGACAUUUCUUCUCUGACUUCCAGGCUACAGGAACAUGAAUGAUGGUCAAUACACAUGACACAGCUAACCAAUUUGACAUGCAGCCAGUGCGUAAAACGACAUUUAAAAAAUGUGUUCAGCUUAACCCAUAUGGAUCUAAUCAACCAUUGUUAUUAAGUAGAUUUGACGUUCUUCAAAA
Long non-coding RNA from Hypanus sabinus (Atlantic stingray), 1749 nucleotides. RefSeq lists it as uncharacterized. The record is from RefSeq and is a predicted model, not a curated record. The transcript has 3 exons. Lineage: Eukaryota; Metazoa; Chordata; Chondrichthyes; Myliobatiformes; Dasyatidae.